Molecule: ribosomal RNA, 253 nt
Filed under: uncultured prokaryote
Description: partial 16S ribosomal RNA
Rfam family: Bacterial small subunit ribosomal RNA
Source: RNAcentral
ACGAAGGGGACUAGCGUUGUUCGGAAUCACUGGGCGUAAAGCGCACGUAGGCGGAUUCGUAAGUCAGGGGUGAAAUCCCGGGGCUCAACCUCGGAACUGCCUUUGAUACUGCGGGUCUUGAGUCCGAUAGAGGUGGGUGGAAUUCCUAGUGUAGAGGUGAAAUUCGUAGAUAUUAGGAAGAACACCGGUGGCGAAGGCGGCCCACUGGAUCGGUACUGACGCUGAGGCACGAAAGCCAGGGGAGCAAACGGGA